This 1864-nucleotide ribosomal RNA is filed under the name Coptotermes gestroi. RNAcentral describes it as "bacterial LSU rRNA". The record is from RNAcentral. Lineage: Eukaryota; Metazoa; Arthropoda; Insecta; Blattodea; Rhinotermitidae.
CGAAGAAGGACGCGAUAAGCUGCGAAAARCCGCGAAGAGCCGCAAAUAGGCUGAGACUCGCGGGUGUCCGAACGGAGAAAUCCACACUUUUGAAGAGAGUGUAUCGUGAGCUGAAUAAAUAGGUUUACGAGGGGAACCGCCCGAACUGAAACAUCUAAGUAGGGCGAGGAAAAGAAAUCAAACGAGAUUCCGUGAGUAGUGGCGAGCGAAAGCGGAAGAAGGCCAAACCAAGACUCGAAAGGGUUUUGGGGUUACGGACUGAGUAAAGCACUCGAGAUUCUAGUCGAACGGCGUGGGAAAGCCGGUCGUAGAGCGUGAGAACCGCGUAGAUGAAAGGAUCGAGAGGCCGUCAGUAUCCAGAGUAGAGCGGAGCAGGUGAAAUUCCGCUUGAAGUCGGGUGAACCAUCAUCCAAGCCAAAAUACUCCUUAACGACCGAUAGAGAAGAGUACUGUGAAGGAAAGGUGAAAAGAACCCCGGGAGGGGAGUGAAAAGAACCUGAAACCCUGAACUUACAAGCACUUAGAGCGCGUCAAAGCGUGAUAAGGUACCUAUUGUAGAAUGGUCCGGCGAGUUAUUGUAUCGUGUGGGUUAAGGAGUUAAGCUCCGGAGCCGAAGUGAAAGCGAGCGUUAAAAGCGCGGAAAUACGAUGCAAUAGACCCGAAACCGGGUGACCUAUCCGUGGUCAGGAGGAAGUUAGGGUAAAACCUGAUGGAGGGCCGAACCGACCCCCGUUGAAAUGGUGGCGGAUGAACUGCGGAUAGAGGAGAAAUUCCAAUCGAACCCGGAUAUAGCUGGUUCUCCCCGAAAUAGCUUUAGGGCUAGCCUCGCUUGUGAUUGCCGGAGGUAAAGCAACCGUUUGAAUAAGGGCGCGAAAGUGUACCAAGUUCUCGCGAACUCAGAAUGCCGGAUAAUUAAAGAGCGGGAGUCAGACUGCGGGAGAUAAGUUCCGUAGUCAAAAGGGAAAGAGCCCAGACCCAUAGUUAAGGUCCCCAAGUAUGUUUAAGUGGAAAACGAUGUGAAUUUGCAUAGACAACCAAGAUGUUGGCUUAGAAGCAGCCAUACAUUCAAAGAGUGCGUAAUAGCUCACUGGUCGAGUGGAUUUGCGCGGAAAAUUUAACGGGGCUAAAGCAUACACCGAAACUUGGGCAUGAGAUGAAAGUCUCUUGGGUAGGGGAGCGUUCUUAAAGGAGCGAAGCGAUAGCGGAAGCGGUCGUGGACUUUUAAGAAGUGAGAAUGCCGGAAUGAGUAGCGAGAAUUGUGUGAGAAUCAUAAUGGUCGAAAACCUAAGGUUUCCAGAGGAAGGUUCGUCCGCUCUGGGUAAGUCGGAAGCUAAGGCGAGGCGGGAACGCGUAGCCGAUGCACAGCCCGUUGAAAAUCGGGCACCACUGAAGGAUUUAAGAUGAGGGACACGGAGGAAGGUGUCAAGCCGGGCGAUGGUAGCCCCGGUGCUGAAAAGCCGAGCGAAAUAAAGUAGCGAAGUUGAGCUGGAACACGGCGAGAAAAGCUCAUUGGAUAUACGAAGUGACCGUACCGCAAACCGACACAGGUAGGUAGGAAGAGGAUUCUAAGACCAACGGGAGAAGGGUAGUUAAGGAACUCGGCAAAAUGUCCCCGUAACUUCGGAAUAAGGGGAGCUCUCGCGAGAGAGCCGCAGAGAAUAGUCCCAAGCAACUGUUUAGCAAAAACACAGGUGUAUGCGAAAUCGAAAGAUGAUGUAUAUGCGCUGACGCCUGCCCGGUGCCGGAAGGUUAAGAGGAGAGCUGAGAGGCUUGAAUCGAAGCCCCGGUAAACGGCGGCCGUAACUAUAACGGUCCUAAGGUAGCGAAAUUCCUUGUCAGGUAAGUUCUGACCCGAACGAAUGGC